Molecule: long non-coding RNA, 2107 nt
Organism: Papaver somniferum (opium poppy)
Lineage: Eukaryota; Viridiplantae; Streptophyta; Magnoliopsida; Ranunculales; Papaveraceae
Exons: 3
Source: RefSeq, a predicted model, not a curated record
AUUUAACCAAGCCCUUUCAUCCCCUUUCAGAUAAAUGAUCACUAGGAGAACCAAUUAAUUGGACUAGCUGAAUUGAAAAACCAAGUUCAUAUUCUCUAAGAUUCCUAGAAAAAUUCCAAUUCCAUCCAUCUGAAGUAGUAGCUAAUUUCCCUACGGAAGCAUUCUUCACUCUUGAAAUUUUGAAUAAGCAAGGAAAAUAGGAAAUAAAGUCUGCAAUGGACUAUUACCAACCCAUAUAUAUUUGAAGAACAAAACACUAGCACUGUUCUUGAGUUUCAAGUUGGAACUACUAACUCUCUAGAAUUCAAAAUUCCAUCCCAUAAACUAGAAGCGACCGGUUUAUUAUAAGUAUUUGGGAAGAAAGAUUUUAUAUUACCUCCAAACUUUUGAUGUACAAUAUCUCUCCAUACUUCCAAAUCCAUUUCGCAUGUAGAGAUGAAUUCACAAGCUUCAGUUUCUUGAUUCCCACACCUCCUCAUUUCUUUGAAAGCGUCACUUUUGACCAACUAACCCUACUUCUUUUUGUAGCAACAACGGUAGACCCCCAAAGAAAGGUCCUCAUAAUUUUCUCCAAAUAUUUUACCACCGAGAUUGGAAUCUGAAACAUAGUGAGAAAAUGGAUAGGGAGGCUGGAUAACAUACUUUGAAUCAUCAUCAACCUGCCUCCCUUUGUAAGAAAAGAUCUCUUCCAAGAAGCAAGUUUCUGUUGAAAUUUUUGAACGACACUAACCCAAAUAGUCUUGCAUUUAGAUUUACUCCCCAAAGGGAUACCCAGAUAAUUGAUUGGAAAAUUAAUAGCAGUACAACCAAAAAUAGAUGUGCAGCAUGUGAACGACAGAUAAAAAGAAUGAGCUUAUUAGAUGCUACCCCGGAAUGGUCAGACGAAGGGUAAUACUAACAAUGGCUUAGAUGUUGAUAGUUUCCAAGAUAUAGUCUAUCCUGUUUCUACUCUGCAGCUUAAAGUUGUUCCUUAAUAUUCCAGUUUCCUUAGUUAAAGAGAGCGAGAGAAGAAAAUUCUUCUUCAUCAUCAACCAAUCCAGAUAUUUAUUAAUCCUAUCAACACCUAUAUAAACCCUAUGUUCCAAUUGGAUACUAAUAUGAUUGAUGAAAUUGGUUCACUUGGGAAAUGUAAUGUCAAUGAGGAGAGAAGAAUGAUACCACAACCUAAUCAUGGAAAGGAGGAAUUUAUCAUAGCAUCUGAUAGCUCAGAAGUGUUAUCUGGUGGAUUGAUUACUCUGAAUCAACAUGGAGUUCCUGCACUUCAAUUUGAGGUACUAGUAUUUCUAUCCAAGACUGGAUUCAAAAAUGGUUGGGAAGUGGGCGUAGUAGAUAUUUUCUAUGCUCCAUCUUCACUACUGCUUGGUGUCUAUGGAGAGACAGGUGCCUCAGGGUGUUCCAAGAUCAACACUGAUUAAAUCAUUUGCAUACUUCUAGAAUGGCCGUCAAUCUCUACUAUGAUUCCAUGAACUACUUAAAUGCUAGUUCUAGACAAAAUCCUCAACCUACUAGAACUGAUUCUUCCUGAACUACUUAAAUGCUAGUUCUAGACAAAAUCCUCAACCUACUAGAACUGAUUCUUCCCCUCCCUCUAACUUUAAUCUCCCCCAAAAUUGCGUGUUGGUGUAUUGUGAUGUCUCUUAUGAUAAAAAUUCUAAUCAAACUGGUGUUGGUAUUGUUGUUACUGACAUUAUAGGAAACUAUCAAGGGUGCAAAUUAGUUGAUAGGAAGGCCAGAAAUCCAGAAGAAGCAGAGUAUGGCUGUGUUCGAAGCGCUGAAGUGGCUGAAAAACAAGAAUCAUGUCAGCAUUUGUGUCAGGAAUGAUGCAAAGAAUGUGAUGGAAUAUCUUCUCAAUAAUAAAAACCAAACUAGUUGGUUCUGCAGUUCAAUUUCAGAUGACUGCCUCAGUCUGGCAAACUCUUUUUUGAUUUUGUUAAAUUUGAACAUGUUAGUAGAGACUACACUUCUGAUGCAGAUUUAGCUGCUAAACAUUGUUUGAAACAUCUUGUCACAGGAGAAUGGCUGGACAUAAUACCACCAUCCUUCCUGCAGAACUUGUAAUUUUUACUUUUUUAAUACAAUUCAUUUCCUAGCAAAAAAAAAAAAAAAA